RNAcentral lists this ribosomal RNA (414 nucleotides) under Escherichia coli. RNAcentral's name for it is "partial 23S ribosomal RNA". It matches the Rfam family "Bacterial large subunit ribosomal RNA", at positions 2227 to 2640 of the family's 2925-position model. The record is from RNAcentral. Lineage: Bacteria; Pseudomonadati; Pseudomonadota; Gammaproteobacteria; Enterobacterales; Enterobacteriaceae.
GUUGACCCGUGAUCCGGGUUGCGGACAGUGUCUGGUGGGUAGUUUGACUGGGGCGGUCUCCUCCUAAAGAGUAACGGAGGAGCACGAAGGUUGGCUAAUCCUGGUCGGACAUCAGGAGGUUAGUGCAAUGGCAUAAGCCAGCUUGACUGCGAGCGUGACGGCGCGAGCAGGUGCGAAAGCAGGUCAUAGUGAUCCGGUGGUUCUGAAUGGAAGGGCCAUCGCUCAACGGAUAAAAGGUACUCCGGGGAUAACAGGCUGAUACCGCCCAAGAGUUCAUAUCGACGGCGGUGUUUGGCACCUCGAUGUCGGCUCAUCACAUCCUGGGGCUGAAGUAGGUCCCAAGGGUAUGGCUGUUCGCCAUUUAAAGUGGUACGCGAGCUGGGUUUAGAACGUCGUGAGACAGUUCGGUCCCUA